GAUGAACGCUGGCGGCGUGCCUAAUACAUGCAAGUCGAGCGAACGGACGAGAAGCUUGCUUCUCUGAUGUUAGCGGCGGACGGGUGAGUAACACGUGGAUAACCUACCUAUAAGACUGGGAUAACUUCGGGAAACCGGAGCUAAUACCGGAUAAUAUUUUGAACCGCAUGGUUCAAUAGUGAAAGACGGUCUUGCUGUCACUUAUAGAUGGAUCCGCGCUGCAUUAGCUAGUUGGUAAGGUAACGGCUUACCAAGGCAACGAUGCAUAGCCGACCUGAGAGGGUGAUCGGCCACACUGGAACUGAGACACGGUCCAGACUCCUACGGGAGGCAGCAGUAGGGAAUCUUCCGCAAUGGGCGAAAGCCUGACGGAGCAACGCCGCGUGAGCGAUGAAGGUCUUCGGAUCGUAAAACUCUGUUAUUAGGGAAGAACAUAUGUGUAAGUAACUGUGCACAUCUUGACGGUACCUAAUCAGAAAGCCACGGCUAACUACGUG
This 497-nucleotide ribosomal RNA is filed under the name uncultured bacterium. RNAcentral describes it as "partial 16S ribosomal RNA". It matches the Rfam family "Bacterial small subunit ribosomal RNA", at positions 28 to 507 of the family's 1533-position model. The record is from RNAcentral.